This 1080-nucleotide long non-coding RNA is filed under the name Cyanistes caeruleus (blue tit). RNAcentral's name for it is "lncRNA (ENSCCEG00000001230.1)". The record is from RNAcentral. Lineage: Eukaryota; Metazoa; Chordata; Aves; Passeriformes; Paridae.
GGUUUUGGGGGGUUUAGAGUUAUCCCCACCUCUGUCGAAACCUCACUUUGGGGGGUCUGGGUGCCACGCGGGGCCUGUGGGGGUCCAAGGCUCGCGGCAAGGGGAGCCCAAAAUGCUGAGCUCGUCCUUCAUCCCCACACUGGGGUGAUGAGGAUGAGGGGGAGACGGACCUGGCUGCGCUUCGGGCGCCACAAUGGGAUCAGGGAAUGGGAUCACUGGGAUCACUGGGAAUGGGAUCACUGGGAACGGGAUCAGGCGGGGAAUGGGAUCACUGGGAUCACUGGGAAUGGGAUCAAUGGGAUCACUGGGAAUGGGAUCACUGGGAAUGGGAUCACUGGGAAUGGGAUCAAUGGGAAUGGGAUCGGUGGGAACGGGAUCACUGGGAAUGGGAUCAGGCGGGGAAUGGGAUCACUGGGAACAGGAUCACUGGGAACGGGAUCACUCUGGCAAUGGGAUCACACCGGCAAUGGGAUCACUCUGGCAAUGGGAUCGCUCUGGGAACGGGAUCACAUCGGCAAUGGGAUCGCUCUGGCAAUGGGAUCACUCUGGGAAUGGGAUCGCUCUGGGAACGGGAUCACUCUGGCAAUGGGAUCAUGGUGGCAAUGGGAUCACUUUGACAAUGGGAUCAUGGUGGCAAUGGGAUCACUCUGGCAAUGGGAUCACUCUGGCAAUGGGAUCACACCAGCAAUGGGAUCACUCUGGGAACGGGAUCACUCUGGCAAUGGGAUCAUGGUGGCAAUGGGAUCACUCUGGCAAAGGGAUCACUCUGGCAAUGGGAUCACUCUGGGAACGGGAUCACACCAGCAAUGGGAUCACCGGCAAUGGGAUCAUUCUGGCAGUGGGAUCACACUGGCAAUGGGAUCACCGGCAAUGGGAUCAUUCUGGCAAUGGGAUCACACCGGCAAUGGGAUCACUCUGGGAACGGGAUCACUCUGGCAAUGGGAUCACACCGGCAAUGGGAUCACAGCAGCAAUGGGAUCACAGCAGGGCUCACACAGAGCUCAGCCGCCACCAGACCAUCCCGAGGGGCUCCCCAAAAUCUCUGCCCAGGGGGAAACAGAGCCACGUCCCCCCGCCGUG